GAUGAAGAACGCAGCGAAAUGCGAUAAGUAGUGUGAAUUGCAGACUAGAGUGAAUCAUCGAAUUUUUGAACGCAUAUUGCGCUCUCCGGUAUUCCGGGGAGCAUGCCUGGCUGAGGGUCGGUAAAACAAAUCUCUGGGUGAAAAUCCCAGUGGUCGAUGGGUGUCUAUCCGAUUGGCCCCUUGGGGAAUUUAAUCGGUCACCUGAAAUAACAGGCUCCGCUGGUUCGCGGACUCGUGCAGUAAAGAUACAAAUAUGAGUGUGCGCCUAGCGCCUUCGGAUAUCACACUUCACGAUAUGCGGCAAAAGCGAGAAGCCACGUUUUGGCUGUUUUAGCCAAAUGCGUCCAUGGCGCAUAUUUUGUAAGCUCGACCUCAGAUCAAGCAAGACCACCCGCUGAACUUAAGCAUAUCAAUAAGCGGAGGA
This 424-nucleotide unclassified non-coding RNA is filed under the name soil metagenome. RNAcentral's name for it is "partial contains 5.8S ribosomal RNA, internal transcribed spacer 2, and large subunit ribosomal RNA". The stretch from base 1 to 120 matches the Rfam family "5.8S ribosomal RNA", at positions 35 to 154 of the family's 154-position model. The record is from RNAcentral.